Non-coding RNA from Acetobacter indonesiensis, 45 nucleotides. Lineage: Bacteria; Pseudomonadati; Pseudomonadota; Alphaproteobacteria; Acetobacterales; Acetobacteraceae. The record is from Rfam.
AGGCUCAUAACCUGAAGGUCAUAGGUUCAAAUCCUAUCCCCGCAA